CCUACGGGAGGCAGCAGUGAGGAAUAUUGGUCAAUGGGCGUAAGCCUGAACCAGCCAAGUCGCGUGAGGGAUGAAGGUUCUAUGGAUCGUAAACCUCUUUUAUAAGGGAAUAAAGUGCGGGACGUAUCCCGUUUUGUCUGUACCUUAUGAAUAAGGAUCGGCUAACUCCGUGCCAGCAGCCGCGGUAAUACGGAGGAUCCGAGCGUUAUCCGGAUUUAUUGGGUUUAAAGGGUGCGUAGGCGGCCUUUUAAGUCAGCGGUGAAAGUCUGUGGCUCAACCAUAGUAUUGCCGUUGAAACUGGGAGGCUUGAGGAUGUCUGAGGCAGGCGGAAUGCGUGGUGUAGCGGUGAAAUGCUUAGAUAUCACGCAGAACCCCGAUUGCGAAGGCAGCCUGCCAAGCCAUGACUGACGCUGAUGCACGAAAGCGUGGGUAUCAAACAGGAUUAGAUACCCUGGUAGUC
This 460-nucleotide ribosomal RNA is filed under the name uncultured bacterium. Its description in RNAcentral is "partial 16S ribosomal RNA". It matches the Rfam family "Bacterial small subunit ribosomal RNA", at positions 338 to 795 of the family's 1533-position model. The record is from RNAcentral.